UACGUAGGGGGCAAGCGUUGUCCGGAUUUAUUGGGCGUAAAGAGCGUGUAGGCGGCCAGACAGGUCCGUUGUGAAAACUCGAGGCUCAACCUCGAGACGCCGAUGGAAACCGUUUGGCUAGAGUCCGGAAGAGGAGAGUGGAAUUCCUGGUGUAGCGGUGAAAUGCGCAGAUAUCAGGAAGAACACCCGUGGCUAAGGCGGCUCUCUAGUACGGUAAUGACGCUGAGACGCGAAAGCGUGGGGAGCGAACAGG
Molecule: ribosomal RNA, 253 nt
Filed under: uncultured bacterium
Lineage: Bacteria
Description: partial 16S ribosomal RNA
Rfam family: Bacterial small subunit ribosomal RNA
Source: RNAcentral